Monodelphis domestica (gray short-tailed opossum) is the source of this 110-nucleotide small nuclear RNA. Its record names the gene U2. It matches the Rfam family "U2 spliceosomal RNA". Rfam says of the family: U2 is a small nuclear RNA (snRNA) component of the spliceosome (involved in pre-mRNA splicing). Complementary binding between U2 snRNA (in an area lying towards the 5' end but 3' to hairpin I) and the branchpoint sequence (BPS) of the intron results the bulging out of an unpaired adenosine, on the BPS, which initiates a nucleophilic attack at the intronic 5' splice site, thus starting the first of two transesterification reactions that mediate splicing. Lineage: Eukaryota; Metazoa; Chordata; Mammalia; Didelphimorphia; Didelphidae. The record is from Ensembl.
AUUGCUUCUCAGCCUUUUGGCUAAGAUCAAGUGUAGUAUCUGUUCUUAUCAGUAUAAAUUUUAUCAUACCAAAAUAUUCAAUAUUCAAGCUGCAUGGAACAAAAUUCUUU